GCCUAGGGUAAGCCAGUCCCACCCUCGCCAGCCCCAAGGGGCCCUUCUGCCUCCCCAAGGGCCGCAGCUUGUUUGUGUCACUCCUGGCCCCACUCGCUCAGGAGCUGGGAGCCUGGGCAGCAAGUCGUGGCUGCUCUAUAGCUGGUGAGGCCCUCAAGGCUGUCGGGGUGAAGUCCUUGGCCAGAGCAAAAUGAGGGUAUGGGAGCACACAGCCACAUCCAUGGAACCCCGUUCCCCAUCCUCCUGGAUGGGGUUGAGGACAUCUCUGACCUCCAACCCCUCUCCCAGCUGCCCAGGAGGCCCGCAACAAGUUCGAGGAGGCUGAGCGGUCGCUGAAGGACAUGGAGGAGUCCAUCAGGAACCUGGAGCAAGAGAUUUCUUUUGACUUUGGCCCCAACGGGGAGUUUGCUUACCUGUACAGCCAGUGCUACGAGCUCACCACCAACGAAUACGUCUACCGCCUCUGCCCCUUCAAGCUUGUCUCGCAGAAACCCAAACUCGGGGGCUCUCCCACCAGCCUCGGCACCUGGGGUUCAUGGGUUGGCCCCGACCACGACAAGUUCAGUGCCAUGAAGUAUGAGCAAGGCACGGGCUGCUGGCAGGGCCCCAACCGCUCCACCACCGUGCGCCUCCUGUGCGGGAAAGAGACCAUGGUGACCAGCACCACAGAGCCCAGUCGCUGCGAGUACCUCAUGGAGCUGAUGACGCCAGCCGCCUGCCCGGAGCCACCGCCUGAAGCACCCACCGAAGACGACCAUGACGAGCUCUAGCUGGAUGGGC
Molecule: small RNA, 780 nt
Filed under: Pan troglodytes (chimpanzee)
Lineage: Eukaryota; Metazoa; Chordata; Mammalia; Primates; Hominidae
Description: retained intron
Source: RNAcentral